This 546-nucleotide ribosomal RNA is filed under the name uncultured bacterium. Its description in RNAcentral is "bacterial SSU rRNA". It matches the Rfam family "Bacterial small subunit ribosomal RNA", at positions 777 to 1319 of the family's 1533-position model. The record is from RNAcentral.
AAUAGAUACCCGGGUAGUCCACGCCGUAAACGAUGAGUGCUAAGUGUUGGGGGGUUUCCGCCCCUCAGUGCUGCAGCUAACGCAUUAAGCACUCCGCCUGGGGAGUACGGUCGCAAGACUGAAACUCAAAGGAAUUGACGGGGGCCCGCACAAGCGGUGGAGCAUGUGGUUUAAUUCGAAGCAACGCGAAGAACCUUACCAGGUCUUGACAUCCCGGUGACCACUAUGGAGACAUAGUUUCCCCUUCGGGGGCAACGGUGACAGGUGGUGCAUGGUUGUCGUCAGCUCGUGUCGUGAGAUGUUGGGUUAAGUCCCGCAACGAGCGCAACCCUUAUUCUUAGUUGCCAUCAUUCAGUUGGGCAUUCUAAGGAGACUGCCGGUGAUAAACCGGAGGAAGGUGGGGAUGACGUCAAAUCAUCAUGCCCCUUAUGACCUGGGCUACACACGUGCUACAAUGGACAGUACAAACGGUUGCCAACCCGCGAGGGGGAGCUAAUCCGAUAAAAACCCGUUCUCAGUUCGGAUUGUAGGCUGCAACUCGCCUAC